Molecule: ribosomal RNA, 741 nt
Filed under: Bacillus sp. (in: firmicutes)
Lineage: Bacteria; Bacillati; Bacillota; Bacilli; Caryophanales; Bacillaceae
Description: bacterial SSU rRNA
Rfam family: Bacterial small subunit ribosomal RNA
Source: RNAcentral
UGGCUCAGGACGAACGCUGGCGGCGUGCCUAAUACAUGCAAGUCGAGCGGACUUUAAAAGCUUGCUUUUAAAGUUAGCGGCGGACGGGUGAGUAACACGUGGGCAACCUGCCUGUAAGACUGGGAUAACUUCGGGAAACCGGAGCUAAUACCGGAUAAUCCUUUUUCUCUCAUGAGGAAAAGCUGAAAGACGGUUUACGCUGUCACUUACAGAUGGGCCCGCGGCGCAUUAGCUAGUUGGUGAGGUAACGGCUCACCAAGGCAACGAUGCGUAGCCGACCUGAGAGGGUGAUCGGCCACACUGGGACUGAGACACGGCCCAGACUCCUACGGGAGGCAGCAGUAGGGAAUCUUCCGCAAUGGACGAAAGUCUGACGGAGCAACGCCGCGUGAGUGAUGAAGGUUUUCGGAUCGUAAAACUCUGUUGUUAGGGAAGAACAAGUACAAGAGUAACUGCUUGUACCUUGACGGUACCUAACCAGAAAGCCACGGCUAACUACGUGCCAGCAGCCGCGGUAAUACGUAGGUGGCAAGCGUUGUCCGGAAUUAUUGGGCGUAAAGCGCGCGCAGGCGGUCCUUUAAGUCUGAUGUGAAAGCCCACGGCUCAACCGUGGAGGGUCAUUGGAAACUGGGGGACUUGAGUGCAGAAGAGAAGAGUGGAAUUCCACGUGUAGCGGUGAAAUGCGUAGAGAUGUGGAGGAACACCAGUGGCGAAGGCGACUCUUUGGUCUGUAACUGACGC